GCUGUCACUUAUAGAUGAAUCGGCGCCGCAUUAGCUAGUUGGUAAGGUAACGGCUUUACCAAGGCAACGAUGCGUAGCCGACCUGAGAGGGUGAUCGGCCACACUGGAACUGAGACACGGUCCAGACUCCUACGGGAGGCAGCAGUAGGGAAUCUUCCGCAAUGGGCGAAAGCCUGACGGAGCAACGCCGCGUGAGUGAUGAAGGUCUUCGGAUCGUAAAACUCUGUUAUUAGGGAAGAACAAAUGUGUAAGUAACUAUGCACGUCUUGACGGUACCUAAUCAGAAAGCCACGGCUAACUACGUGCCAGCAGCCGCGGUAAUACGUAGGUGGCAAGCGUUAUCCGGAAUUAUUGGGCGUAAGGCGCGCGUAGGCGGUUUUUUAAGUCUGAUGUGAAAGCCCACGGCUCAACCGUGGAGGGUCAUUGGAAACUGGAAAACUUGAGUGCAGAAGAGGAAAGUGGAAUUCCAUGUGUAGCGGUGAAAUGUCGCAGAGAUAUGGAGGAACACCAGUGGCGAAGGCGACUUUCUGGUCUGUAACUGACGCUGCAUGUGCGAAAGUCGUG
RNAcentral lists this ribosomal RNA (564 nucleotides) under Staphylococcus epidermidis. RNAcentral's name for it is "bacterial SSU rRNA". It matches the Rfam family "Bacterial small subunit ribosomal RNA", at positions 211 to 764 of the family's 1533-position model. Lineage: Bacteria; Bacillati; Bacillota; Bacilli; Caryophanales; Staphylococcaceae. The record is from RNAcentral.